This is a long non-coding RNA of Corvus hawaiiensis (hawaiian crow), 623 nucleotides long. RefSeq lists it as uncharacterized. NCBI's taxonomy places the organism in Eukaryota, Metazoa, Chordata, Aves, Passeriformes, Corvidae. The record is from RefSeq and is a predicted model, not a curated record. The transcript is spliced from 3 exons.
CUGCGCCGCGGUCCCGCCGCGCUGGGGGCAGAGCGCGCUCUGCAAUGGGCAUUUCCCUGCGCCCAGCCUCGCCCGUCCCUCGAACGGCCUUCUGUGGCCUAACAGGGACGCAUAAUGCAGAACCAGACUUUACUGAGUUGUCUGAUUGCAAGGUCCCAGUACCAGUCCCAUAAAAGACACCGUUAGUGGAACUCGAGUGUCCUGCGGUGAGGCUCAGAGCAAUGUAAGCAAACAGUGAUCCGGAAGGGGCAAGACGAGGUAAAAAGUGAUUCUCGGGUCAACUGGUUUGUCAGAAGAGCGGUGUGGUUCAGGAGAAGCAAGGAUGUGACAGACCCGAAGAAGUACCUUAAAAUAGCCUAUGCAGUCUACACGUGUAAAAUCACGCUCAGUCAAGAGAGAGACAAAAAAAACCCCAAACCCCUACUCGGUUUUCAGGAUUUAAAUUAUUCGUAUCCAUGAAAAACAAGACCUAUGGCAGCCCUGCAGACAACUUGCUGUGUAGCUGUGUCAGUAAACCCAUCAGGACACACAUGAUCAGUUAAUAUUUCCAGGAAGGCUCUACCAACAACUGGACAGACAUAAAUGAUACACUGCAAAUAAAACACGAUACGUUACAGAUAAAA